UUUGUGCGAAAUGAAUCAGAAAUUCGAAGGACGGAGGUAGCCCACCGGUACUCCGUCGCUAGCGUGGUCGUGCGUCGUCGUCGUCGUUUCGCUUCUUGCUGGCGCCUCCGUCGUUCACAACAUCUUCAAGCCUGAUUUGACAUUGCCGCCAAUGGACACUGUUCAUGGGGCUAAGGGCAGAGAAGCUGACAAGGGAUGAAUAUAUUUUGUUGGUUUCAACAAAGUAGUUGAUUUUUGUCAACUUUCAAUGCUUUGAACUUCAACUUCAUGAGAAUGUUUUGCAAGAGAUUUUGUUGGAGGUACAUUUUACCAUUGAUGUGUAUGUUUAUCUGAGAUUGUUAUCUUGCUGUGUUGCUAUGUUUGUCAAAUAGGCUUGUUAUUUGUUUU
This is a long non-coding RNA of Camellia sinensis, 387 nucleotides long. RefSeq lists it as uncharacterized. NCBI's taxonomy places the organism in Eukaryota, Viridiplantae, Streptophyta, Magnoliopsida, Ericales, Theaceae. The record is from RefSeq and is a predicted model, not a curated record.